RNAcentral lists this ribosomal RNA (442 nucleotides) under uncultured bacterium. RNAcentral's name for it is "partial 16S ribosomal RNA". It matches the Rfam family "Bacterial small subunit ribosomal RNA", at positions 338 to 795 of the family's 1533-position model. The record is from RNAcentral.
CCUACGGGAGGCAGCAGUGGGGAAUAUUGCACAAUGGGCGAAAGCCUGAUGCAGCAACGCCGCGUGAAGGAAGAAGGCUUUCGGGUUGUAAACUUCUUUUGUCAGGGAAGAGUAGAAGACGGUACCUGACGAAUAAGCCACGGCUAACUACGUGCCAGCAGCCGCGGUAAUACGUAGGUGGCAAGCGUUGUCCGGAUUUACUGGGUGUAAAGGGCGUGUAGCCGGGUUGACAAGUCAGAUGUGAAAUCCUGCGGCUUAACCGCAGAACUGCAUUUGAAACUGUUGAUCUUGAGUACUGGAGAGGCAGACGGAAUUCCUAGUGUAGCGGUGAAAUGCGUAGAUAUUAGGAGGAACACCAGUGGCGAAGGCGGUCUGCUGGACAGCAACUGACGGUGAGGCGCGAAAGCGUGGGGAGCAAACAGGAUUAGAUACCCCAGUAGUC